CCUUGGGAGACAACUCCAUCCAGUUCUUUAUGCGCAGCAUUCUGAUCAAAUUUAAAAUUGUUUUCUCAUGAAACCAUCAAAUAACAUUAAAAAAAGUAUUUAUAAAUAACAAAUAAAUAAACUUUUAUACUUACUACUUUUCUUUCUGAAUCAAAAUCAACAAAUUCUCCAGUUUUUUUCUUAUGCGUAAUCUCCCAAAACCUUAGUCUAUCCGGUUCGUUUCCAUAUUCCUUUUUCUACAAAAUUAACCGCAAAAAUGUUAAAUUAUCACCCAACAAAAACUACAAAAUAUAAAUUUCAGCAAAAAGGACCAUUAAAUAACAAAGAGCUAUUGGUUUAUAGCAUUGGGACCAUUAAUU
RNAcentral lists this long non-coding RNA (359 nucleotides) under Ananas comosus (pineapple). RNAcentral's name for it is "long non-coding RNA (ACOM_LNC041816)". Lineage: Eukaryota; Viridiplantae; Streptophyta; Magnoliopsida; Poales; Bromeliaceae. The record is from RNAcentral.